RNAcentral lists this ribosomal RNA (439 nucleotides) under uncultured bacterium. RNAcentral's name for it is "partial 16S ribosomal RNA". It matches the Rfam family "Bacterial small subunit ribosomal RNA", at positions 338 to 795 of the family's 1533-position model. The record is from RNAcentral.
CCUACGGGAGGCAGCAGUGGGGAAUAUUGCACAAUGGGGGAAACCCUGAUGCAGCGACGCCGCGUGAGUGAAGAAGUAUUUCGGUAUGUAAAGCUCUAUCAGCAGGGAAGAAAAUGACGGUACCUGACUAAGAAGCCCCGGCUAACUACGUGCCAGCAGCCGCGGUAAUACGUAGGGGGCAAGCGUUAUCCGGAUUUACUGGGUGUAAAGGGAGCGCAGGCGGGCUGUUAAGCCGGCGGUAAAAAUUCAGGGCUCAACCCUGUCGAGCCGUCGGAACUGGCAGUCUUGAGUGGGCGAGAAGUAUGCGGAAUGCGUGGUGUAGCGGUGAAAUGCAUAGAUAUCACGCAGAACGCCGAUUGCGAAGGCAGCAUACCGGCGCCCAACUGACGCUGAGGCACGAAAGCGUGGGGAUCGAACAGGAUUAGAUACCCCUGUAGUC